RNAcentral lists this ribosomal RNA (368 nucleotides) under Lautropia mirabilis. RNAcentral's name for it is "bacterial SSU rRNA". It matches the Rfam family "Bacterial small subunit ribosomal RNA", at positions 29 to 399 of the family's 1533-position model. Lineage: Bacteria; Pseudomonadati; Pseudomonadota; Betaproteobacteria; Burkholderiales; Burkholderiaceae. The record is from RNAcentral.
AUUGAACGCUGGCGGCAUGCUUUACACAUGCAAGUCGAACGGCAGCGCGGGCUUCGGCCUGGCGGCGAGUGGCGAACGGGUGAGUAAUACAUCGGAACGUGCCCAGUAGUGGGGGAUAGCUCGGCGAAAGCCGGAUUAAUACCGCAUACGACCUGAGGGUGAAAGCGGGGGAUCUUCGGACCUCGCGCUAUUGGAGCGGCCGAUGGCAGAUUAGCUAGUUGGUGGGGUAAAGGCCUACCAAGGCGACGAUCUGUAGCUGGUCUGAGAGGACGACCAGCCACACUGGGACUGAGACACGGCCCAGACUCCUACGGGAGGCAGCAGUGGGGAAUUUUGGACAAUGGGCGAAAGCCUGAUCCAGCAAUCCG